GUGAUGUACAUCCGAAAAUAAAUAAAUAAAUUUUUUUUAAAAAGAAAAGAAAAUAUAACAGGAUAUUCCCAAGUUUAUUGGAGCUGUAUUUACCUAGAACAGUUCCUGGCAUACUUUAGAUUUUUAAUAAAUGCUUGCUGCAUGAAUAAAAUAAUCAAACAGAGGUAGGUUUAUAUGAAAACUACUUUGCUUGCUGGCCACGUGAUCUUGCACAAUUUCCUUGAGCAGUAUGAACCUGUUUCAUUGUCUGAAAAUUCAAAAUAAUAGUGUCUUUUUAAAAGAAUUACUAUGAUCAUUGAAUAGAAUAGUGUAUAUUACAUAACUAACAGUAUGUCAAUUAAUUUCUUCCUCUUUUAUCUAAAGAAUCCUAGUUAGUUUUUGGUGUUCCAGGACAUUCAACGGUCUGCAGAAUGCUGGAUUCUAUCCUUCAGCUAAGCCAGAUAUUUUACUUGUCUGAUUUAUUUAUUUAUUUAUAACUUUUAAAUAAAUAAUUUAUAAUUUAUAAUAAUUUAUUAAUUAUUUCUUUAUUUAUCUUUGCAAAUUGUGUUACUUGUCACCUUCAAAGUGAAGACGAAGUAUGGAACUUUUGGUGGUAAGAUGGGGCUACAUUGACAUUUAUGCAGAUUGUAUGUAUUUAUUUGUCUUAAUGUCCAUUUCCAUAAAAUGGCUAUGACAAGUUAAGUCUAAAACUUAAUUUUUCAGUUAACUUUAAAAGUUAAAAUUCAUUUAAAAUAUUGGCCUAUUUAGUAGGCACAUAAAACGUCUACCCACACAAUAUUUAUAUUCUUAGACAGAACUGGUGACAGAAUCACAAGAGAAAAUAAACUGCAGAGGAGUUUUCCCCUGAAAAUCUAACUGGAAGACUAUUGAGAUCUCUCUGGAGAAAUUGACCCUCUUCUAUUACUACUAGCAUCUACUGAAACACAUGUUGUUCUGGGAGGCAGACAUAUUUGGCAAUUUAUAUAGAAAGACUGCUACAAGAAUCCUAUUCUCUUGUUUGAUCUUGACCAUCAUUCUUAAUUUUGAGACAUUCCUAUGUCAUGGUUUUUUGCCUGUAUGCUUAAAACAGAUUGAAUAUCAAAUUCAGACCCACACUGAACACUUAAAAUCUCUUCUUGGUGAUUUCCUUUCCAGUUUGUGUUUCUGAAAGCUGACCUCCAGCUCAUGUUUUGUAAGUAGUAACCUCCCUCAUCUCUCUUGGAUAACCUGAUUUUCUGAAAAUCAUUGCUUAGCCUAUAUAGAUUCACAUAGCCUUUUAUAUAUCCUUGGUUGGAUGUCUGGUGCCAGUCAAAAAUUGUCUACAUCUCAAAGUUGUACACUAAUUAACUUAUUUUUAUCAGUCAACUCAUUAAUAGUACUGGCUAGAUCUAAUCUUUGCAGUGAUCUUCGAGUAUUUCUUAAGUACUGUAUAUAUAUCCUUACACACAUUAAUGAACUGCCUUGGCUGGGAAUGCCAUUCUUCAAUCUUUUCUUUAGUGCUUAUUAUGUGCCAUGAAUUGGCUAGACACUGGAGAUACAGAAAUAAAGAAGACAUUGUUCUUUCCUGAAAAUCUUAGCGAGUAACACAUUCCUGAAGUCUUUUUAUUUUCAUUUUUUGAUUCCUUAAGUGUUUGAGUGUAAAUAACACAUCUUCAGACAUUCUUGUGACUUUUAUCACAAAGACAGGCCAUGUACCCUCUAGAAAUUGCCUAUUAAAUUGGGUAUUUACAAUAGAAGGAAACAAUUUGCAUGAGUAACCCAGGAACCCAGAAGAACUAUACUUUUGGCAAGGUUAUAAUUCUUUAAAUGGUUUAUUCUCUUACAGCUGAAUUAAUCCUAGAAGGUCAGAGGGUUGGGAAAAGAUAAAAUUAAUCCACAUUAACUGAUAAAAUAAGAGCUUAACUUGCUUAAUAAUGAGACACCGGAACAUUUUAACACCUGUGAACUCACACAGGAAAAUUUCAGAGGGCUGCUCUUACCCACCUAAUGUUUAAGGCUGCAAUAGAUUGAAAUCAAAUGAAAGUCAGUAUGUCUUAGAAAUCAAACAUCUUAACACUUUAUGUCAUUAAUAAAACUGAGUCAAUGGCUUUUCUGUUGGCAAUAUUAGAGUCCUUUUCAAAGUUAAAGAAAAAAAAACAAUCCCAAGAUGCUAAUAUUUCUAGAGAGACUGUGGGUAUAGUGAUGUAGGAUUUCUAAAAGUUACUACUGAACGAUGAUAAUUCGCUGAACACAGGCCUACUCAUUACCUCAAUUACAUGCGUUCAUGCUCUUGCUUAUCUUGCAACCAAAAAGUUAUUUUCACCUUGGGAACCAAAAUUUAGGGCUGUACUGUGACACCCUCAUCUUUAGAUAGAGGUGUUUCAGCUGACUUCUUAUCUAGUCCAAAAAAAAGGAGCUCACUGAAUAAUCCUCUUUACUAUUGACAAAACAGUUUGGGAGGUACAUUUUUUUCUUUUUAUCUUCAUCCUUUGCCUCUUAUUUGAUUAUCCUGUACCUUCUGUACCUAAAUGACUUCCUAUCAGACAUUUUUUAUUAGAUUUCUUAGUAAAUACCUCAAAUAUGUUGUGUUAAACUGAACCAAACAUAUUUGCUAAUUAGUUAGGUUUUGUUGUGAUAACAAACAACUCAUUUUCACAUUAGAUUAUAAUAACUAACAUUUGUUGUUUACAUAACAUGGGGGCCAUAGGUCAACUAUGUCUCUGCUAAGCUUGACCAGAUUCUGCCUGUCUUCUAAUCCUGGGACUCUAUCUGGGUGUUCUCAUGGCAGAGGUUAGGAAUAUAAGACCUCAAGCCAUAUUUCACAGGAAUAUUUAAAACUUGCCUGGAUGAGGUCAUGGGAAACAUCAUAUUCACUCACAUUUCCUCGACCAAAACUUGUCAUUUGACUAUGCUCAAAAUCAAUAAAGUUAUUCGUAUAUUUUUCCCUCAGGGCAAGUGAUAUAAUGAGUAGGAAUGCAUGACCCUAAUAUAGAAAGAGUAACCAGCUGGGAUCAUUAGUUCGCUCUACCACUCUACCACAAUGUCUCCAACCUCAUCCUUUCCCUAAAUUGCCAUCUCGUGGAUCAUGUUUUUGAUCUCCCUAUAUUGAAGUUAGUAAUCCUCCUGAACUCCUCUUUAUUCCUCACCAAACACAAUUAAUUGACCUCCAAGAAUUUCAUGAUGCCACCUUUUCAAGUGUCCUCCACUAUCUCGUCAUUAGAUUGCUACCACCUAAGUUCUAGCUGUCAUAUCAUUUAUCACUUGAGUAAUUACACUAUUUUCUUCCUAAAUUGACUGACUUAAGGUGUUUCUUAAAUCCCUUUUCCCGCUGAAUAAAAAAUGUUGUUUCUGAAAAUGAAUUAUGGGAUGUUCUUCCGUAAUAAUGUUUUGUGGAUCCCAUGACUUAAUGGAUACAAGCUUUAAACCAGAACAGAAUGACCUACUGGGUCUUUUAUGACAUGGACCCUGCUUAGUGCUCCAGCCAAAGUUUUCAAGGUUACCACUCUUCCAUGCUACAUUUCAGCUAGUUCAGUAUUGGUUUCUCAGAUCGAACUUUUGCUUUGAGAUGUCCUUCUUUCCUUGUCUACUCAGUUAAUGCUUCCUCCGACAAGGUGCUGAUAUCAACACCAUGUCCAGGGAUGAUUUCAAGGCCACCUGCCUUCACAACACAGGCUGUGUUUUAAGCGGUCUUCUCUGUGGUCUCUUAGCAUUCAGUACAUACAUCGUGUAGUAUUUGCACUUUAUCCAAAUACACGCAGAUGUAUGUAUCCCUCACCAGACUUAAGAAUACGAAAGAGAAUUUUCAUGAUAUAAUGAGGUGAAAACUCUCCAAUUUUGUUUGGUCUUUUGGUACAUAAAUGUUAGUAAAGACUGUUUGAUUUUAUUUUUGAUGUCACUAUUACCAUUUUCAUAAUAUUGGAACUUUUCAUAACAUGACAUUUACAACAUUUUGCCAAUAGAUAAUAAAAUUUAUAAUAGCUUUACCUACCCUACUAUCUGGAAAAUAAUUCAACCGUAAUCAAACUUUCAGAUGUACUUACCUGAGUGAGGUCCAGAUAGAGCUUCCUUUUAUGCAAUUCUUGUAGUGAUGCAUCAAGUUAUGCAAAUAUAAAAUAAAAGAUUUUAAUGAAGGAAUGUUUAUAUUUUAUAAUUUUGUCUAUAAGUGAGGUUAUAUCUAAACAGGUGGAUCAUUCUCCUAAAAUGCAAAAAUUGACAAAUAACAGCAUGCUACUUUGAAGGGUAAAAAAAGUUGAGUUAAAACUAUUGGCUAACAAUUAAUCUCGUAUGGUCAAUCUCAUGAUUACCAACUAUCACACUAACCAGUUUUUUAAAAAAAUAACUGCUACACAUAUGUUAUAGAGUUUAAUUCCUUUAUAUUAAUUUGAUUCAGACAUUGUUUGCUCUUGUUGGCAGCAGUCUGCCAUGGUCCCUGAGUGUCCUUGUACAUCCUUGCUGAAUAUAUCAAAUAUAUCAACUAUCUCCUAAUGAUGAGCAGUUUCAGUAGCUAGUCACAUAAACACUUAAGUAGGUCAAGGAAACUAUAUGUGACUAUUAGGCAACUCUUUACUCCCUAGGGGAGAGAACUGGCUAUUUGCUGCUUCCUACAAAAAGCGCUGAGCCCUUGAACCUAGGCUCUUCCAAUGUGGCACAACCCACCUUGUGUAGAGUCUGCAUUUGGGACCAUCUUGUCUCCCCUUGGGACUCUGGGAUUCAAGCUGCAUUACCAUCUUGAUGCUCCUGCUGUUUGUUGUGUUGUGAGUAAUAAACUUUUGUGCUGGAUCCUUUGAGUUAUAGCACUAUCAAAUUGUGGUAACCCUACCUGCUUGCUUUUUGUUAGUCAUCUUACUACUCUUUGCUAUCUUCUCAGGUUGGAGUUCUUCCCUACCAGAUUUCCUCUCUAUCCAAUUAAUUGCUUCUCAUGUUCAAAGAUCUGUAAGGCAGCAUCUCUAUAGGUGCACCACUCAAUUGUGUUUUACAAUCAAAUAAAUAUUUUACUGCAGGACUUCUUCAAGCCUUUUUAUUGGUAAAUUCAUGGUAAAAUUUUAAGUGAAUUUUGAAAUUCAUGGGAAGCACAGUGUAUUCUUGGUUUACCAUGAAACCCAUCCUCCCUACCUCCAGCAGAAAGAAGCAAUGAAUUACCAAGCAUCUACUAUUUCUGCUCUCCUAUGUUCAAGGCAUUUGGUAUACGAAAGGCAAUAAAACACAGCCCAUUCUGUCAAGUAUUUCAAACAGAACCUCAUGAGCAACUUCAGGUGAUUUGGGGAAAAGUUUGACAGCAUAUGCUACUUAAAAACAAUAGCACUUUGUGGAUGCCCUAACGGUAUGUUUCAUUUGCUCCAACUUGUCUGACAGCAGAUAUUUUUUCUCUCCUCUUCUCUACAAACAAUUUAAAGUUUAGCUUCUGACUGCAUUUUCCUGUGUGAGUCCGGCACACUAAUGUAUUGGAGUGUUCACCUGUGAUCCUCUUUAAGAUAUCUAAUCUUGAGCUGUUCUAUGAUUUCCACUUAUUGUGUGUCGAAGGGCAAAUGGGGUUAGGCAAAGGAAAAGAAAAGUUAGCAAAAUCUCUCAUUUCUUGAAAAGUUUCUUGAUGACACUACAGCACUAGAGGGUCAGUUCUAUUUAUAAGUGAGGAUUAGUGUUAGCUCACUGAACAUUUACAUUUCAGAUGACAAGAAGAUACUUUUAAGAGCUGAUUUACUAUUCUCAGGCCAGUGCUCAUGCCAAGUGAGCUAAAGUAACUUUACCAGCUGAGCUAGUAAAAGUACUUAAUAUACUCAUCUCAGAGCUCCACAAGAGUGGCUUUUUGGCUGCAGCCACAGGACCUGCAGCUGUCAGCUUUCUCCACUGUCACCAGUAGAUAUCACUGCAGUCAAUUAGAAUUACUACAGAGGGUUUCAGACAGAGACACAUGCAUCUUUUCGUUCUUGCAUAGGCAGCUGCCCAAAGGUCAGUAAUCCAUGACUGGAGGGAGGAAGACUUGGCAGUGACGCGACUCAUGCAUUGACUGAACGGCUAUAAUCGUCUGUCCAAAUGUCUUAGUGAGAACACCACGCUGAUCUCUCAACACAGUGAAAUGAGUUUCCUGUUAAAACCCAUGUGAUGUAUCUUGAUAUAUUUAAACGGAUUAACCCUCCUCACAAAGGCAGCUUUUCUAUAAUUUGGAAAUGGUCAAAGGAAAAAUGGGGAAAGGAAAGGAACGUGUGAAGUGUUUAUCCUGUAACUAUUUCCUAAAAUAAUAAUAACAAUAAGCUUGGUGGCAAGUUUCUUCUUCUCAAAGCGUUCUUCAAUAAUGAAGAACAUUUGGAAAUGUUUAAUAUAAAUAUUAAUAUUUGCAUAAGCACAUUAAUGUUAUAAUUUGGUUCAAACAAUUCUUUUACUUGAAUUUGUGGAAAUAAUUUACACAGAGUUCACAUAUAACUAAUUCUAGGGAAAAAAGUCAAAAUUAAGCAUUUGCCUUAAUUAUCUUCAUAUUUCAUUUGAAAACUCAUUAUGUUAUUAGCCUGCCUUAGAUUGUUUUUUGUAUAUGCUUUAUAUGUAUUCUUCAGAUUUUAGAUGACUUCCUGUCCCAGGUGGUCACAGGAUGGUACAGCAACUCCAACCAUUGUGUUUCUCUUCAGUGAAUGAACACUCAAGGCAAACAGUGAGAAAGAUCUUCCUCUCACACCUUUUUCUUUGUGGUGAGGAAAAUUGGCUCUUAGCUAACAUCUGUUGCCAAUCUUCCUCUUUUUGCUUGACGAAGAUU
Molecule: non-coding RNA, 6700 nt
Organism: Equus caballus (horse)
Lineage: Eukaryota; Metazoa; Chordata; Mammalia; Perissodactyla; Equidae
Source: RefSeq, a predicted model, not a curated record